This 88-nucleotide non-coding RNA is filed under the name Polaromonas sp. RNAcentral describes it as "Glycine sequence". It matches the Rfam family "Glycine riboswitch aptamer", at positions 9 to 86 of the family's 94-position model. Rfam says of the family: This family represents the bacterial glycine riboswitch. Glycine riboswitches usually consist of two metabolite-binding aptamers domains with similar structures in tandem. Lineage: Bacteria; Pseudomonadati; Pseudomonadota; Betaproteobacteria; Burkholderiales; Comamonadaceae. The record is from RNAcentral.
GUCAGGAGAGAGUUUUCCCCGGGAAAACCGCCGAAGGCGCACGUACACCCCCUUUUGGUGCACUGAACGCUCAGGCAAAAGGACUGGC